GUCGUGAGAUGUUGGGUUAAGUCCCGCAACGAGCGCAACCCCUGUCGCAUGUUGCCAGCAUUUAGUUGGGGACUCAUGCGAGACUGCCGGUGACAAACCGGAGGAAGGUGGGGAUGACGUCAAGUCAUCAUGCCCCUUAUAUCCAGGGCUACACACGUGCUACAUUGGCCGGUACAAAGGGCUGCGAUACCGCGAGGUGGAGCGAAUCCCAAAAAGCCGGUCUCGGUUCGGAUUGGAGGCUGAAACUCGCCUCCAUGAAGGCGGAGUUGCUAGUAAUCCCGGAUCAGCAACGCCGGGGUGAAUACGUUCCCGGGCCUUGUACACACCGCCCGUCACACCACGAAAGCGGGCAACACCCGAAGCCGGUGACCCAACCCUUACGGGAGGGAGCCGUCGAAGGUGGGGCUCGUGAUUGGGGUGAAGUCGUAACAAGGUAGCCGUACCGGAAGGUGCGGCUGGAUCACCUCCUUUCUAGGGAGCUCGUCAAGGACGAGCCCGUCGUGCCGGCCUUAUGGCCACACGGCGUCCCUGAAUGUCGACCGGGCCUGGAGGUCCGUCGCAAGACGUCUUUGCGGCGGCCACACGCGCCAGAUUGCGCGUGGUGCACUGCUGAGUUUUGAGAGACCAGCCGGGGAGUCCCUCCGGCUGCGCCCUCGCCGGACCUUGAAAACUGCAUAGUUGGCCAAACAACGGAAGAUCACCGUUGUACGCCGGUGACCGCCUUCGGGCAGGUUGCCGGCUUAUCAACGAUCACCGUCAAGAUAGUAAGGGCACACGGUGGAUGCCUUGGCAUCAGGAGUCGAUGAAGGGCGUGGACGGCUGCGAUAAGCCGCGGUGAGCUGCUGAACAGGCUUUGACCCGCGGAUAC
This 868-nucleotide small RNA is filed under the name uncultured Conexibacter sp. RNAcentral's name for it is "bacterial SSU rRNA". The stretch from base 1 to 471 matches the Rfam family "Bacterial small subunit ribosomal RNA", at positions 1064 to 1533 of the family's 1533-position model. Lineage: Bacteria; Bacillati; Actinomycetota; Thermoleophilia; Solirubrobacterales; Conexibacteraceae. The record is from RNAcentral.